Molecule: non-coding RNA, 29 nt
Filed under: Cricetulus griseus (Chinese hamster)
Lineage: Eukaryota; Metazoa; Chordata; Mammalia; Rodentia; Cricetidae
Source: RNAcentral
UAAAGAAAAGAAUAAGGGCUUUGGAAGAA